GGUUGUGAGGGCUAUCUGGCUGUGACAUCCUUUAUCCCAUUGAUUACCAAAGUUAAUUCAGCUGAUCUGGCUGGCUUGUCAGGUGCCCCCUUCCUCCCUCACCAAUCCAUCCCAAAGCUCUGCACUGGGUCAUAGAGGACAACAUCCCCAAAUAGAGGAGGAUCAGUCUUUGGUCAAGGGUAUAUAAGUAGCUUCACUUCUCUUCUAGAACCUCCAGACAAGCUCUGAAAUCCUAACAUCCCAUUUUUAUUUUUAAAAUGAAUUAAGUGAUUACACAUU
This 279-nucleotide small nuclear RNA is filed under the name Jaculus jaculus (lesser Egyptian jerboa). RNAcentral's name for it is "7SK RNA (ENSJJAG00000009224.1)". It matches the Rfam family "7SK RNA". Rfam says of the family: 7SK was discovered as an abundant small nuclear RNA in the mid-70s but a possible function has only recently been suggested. The record is from RNAcentral. Lineage: Eukaryota; Metazoa; Chordata; Mammalia; Rodentia; Dipodidae.